AUUGAACGCUGGCGGCAGGCCUAACACAUGCCAGUCGAGCGGAUGAAGGGAGCUUGCUCCUGGAUUCAGCGGCGGACGGGUGAGUAAUGCCUAGGAAUCUGCCUGGUAGUGGGGGAUAACGUCCGGAAACGGGCGCUAAUACCGCAUACGUCCUGAGGGAGAAAGUGGGGGAUCUUCGGACCUCACGCUAUCAGAUGAGCCUAGGUGGGAUUAGCUAGUUGGUGGGGUAAAGGCCUACCAAGGCGACGAUCCGUAACUGGUCUGAGAGGAUGAUCAGUCACACUGGAACUGAGACACGGUCCAGACUCCUACGGGAGGCAGCAGUGGGGAAUAUUGGACAAUGGGCGAAAGCCUGAUCCAGCCAUGCCGCGUGUGUGAAGAAGGUCUUCGGAUUGUAAAGCACUUUAAGUUGGGAGGAAGGGCAGUAAGUUAAUACCUUGCUGUUUUGACGGUACCAACAGAAUAAGCACCGGCUAACUUCGUG
This 484-nucleotide ribosomal RNA is filed under the name uncultured bacterium. RNAcentral describes it as "partial 16S ribosomal RNA". It matches the Rfam family "Bacterial small subunit ribosomal RNA", at positions 30 to 507 of the family's 1533-position model. The record is from RNAcentral.